Long non-coding RNA from Phycodurus eques (leafy seadragon), 969 nucleotides. RefSeq lists it as uncharacterized. NCBI's taxonomy places the organism in Eukaryota, Metazoa, Chordata, Actinopteri, Syngnathiformes, Syngnathidae. The transcript is spliced from 3 exons. The record is from RefSeq and is a predicted model, not a curated record.
UUGAUUAUUUGUAUACCUCUUAAAUGUUCAAUUAUUUUGGGAUGGUUGUUUGAUUAAUGUAAACUGCGGGGAAUCGAAGAAAUGAGCGCAGAACGUGCUAUCGCGCAUGCUCAGUGGCACAGGAAACAGGAAGUUACAACUCGAAACCAAAUUGCGAUUCUGUUGUAUUUCGUGCAUCAUUUUCGACGAUUUGCAUCACAGAAAAACACCCCUUGUAUCCAUAUGUGCCCACUUCAUCGAUAACAUAUGUGACAUACACCAUCAGGACAAAGUCAUCUUCCACACUCAUCACUGAAUUCGGAGUGUUGCAUUAGGAUCACUGCCACGAGUGAAUCCAUUUUUCAAAUAAUUUGCACAUUUACAUCUGUGUGGGGGAAAUGGAUCAAACUAAAGAGCUCUCUGAAUUUCAGCAGGGUACUGUAAUAGGAUGCCACGUCUGCAACAAGUCAGUUGCUGAAAUUUCUUCUCUCCUGAAUAUUCCAGAAGCAACUAUAAAUGAUGUUAUUACAAAGUGGAAGCAAUCAGGCUCCUCGGCAACUCAGCCAAGAGGUGGCAGACGGCGUAAAGGUACAGAGACGGACUAGCAUCGUGCACAAGUGUAGUCACGCUCUGCUACCUCAAUUCAUUGUUGGCUUCCUGACCUCCUCUGGCAUUAGCAUCAGUACAAACAUUACGCUGGGACUUUGGUGGCAUGUUUUCAUGGAGUAGCAGCCGUAUACAAGUUCAACACAGCAAAGCACAUCUGGUGCUCAACAUAAAUGAGUACAUACCUGUACAUCUCACAACACGUUUGUUCAACAAAGAUGAAUCAAUAUUUUCUACGGCACACCGUCCUCCAACACUCCCACAAAUGCAGGCCAUUGAUUGCAAAUUAAAUUACCUGAGUGUUUAAACCUCCAUUGUGAUGCUGUAACUAUGUGUAUCUUGAUGUGGGUGGGAUCAGUGAAGUCUUCUAUCUGUGAGCACUCA